RNAcentral lists this ribosomal RNA (257 nucleotides) under uncultured Alphaproteobacteria bacterium. RNAcentral's name for it is "partial 16S ribosomal RNA". It matches the Rfam family "Bacterial small subunit ribosomal RNA", at positions 85 to 358 of the family's 1533-position model. The record is from RNAcentral. Lineage: Bacteria; Pseudomonadati; Pseudomonadota; Alphaproteobacteria.
GCAUUACGGAGUGGCAGACGGGUGAGCUAACACGUGGGAACGUGCCCAAAGGUACGGAACAACUCCGGGAAACUGGAGCUAAUACCGUAUGUGCCCGAAAGGGGAAAGAUUUAUCGCCUUUGGAUCGGCCCGCGUCUGAUUAGCUUGUUGGUGAGGUAACGGCUCACCAAGGCGACGAUCAGUAGCUGGUCUGAGAGGAUGAUCAGCCACACUGGGACUGAGACACGGCCCAGACUCCUACGGGAGGCAGCAGUGGG